RNAcentral lists this ribosomal RNA (254 nucleotides) under uncultured prokaryote. Its description in RNAcentral is "partial 16S ribosomal RNA". It matches the Rfam family "Bacterial small subunit ribosomal RNA", at positions 524 to 777 of the family's 1533-position model. The record is from RNAcentral.
UACGUAGGGAGCGAGCGUUGUCCUGAAUCAUUGGGCGUAAAGAGCACGUAGGUGGAUUAAUCAGUCUGUCGUGAAAGUCAACGGCUCAACCGUUGAAGGCCGGUGGAUACUGUUGAUCUAGAGUACGGAAGAGGCGAGUGGAAUUCCUGGUGUAGCGGUGGAAUGCGCAGAUAUCAGGAGGAACACCAAUAGCGAAGGCAGCUCGCUGGGACGUUACUGACACUGAGGUGCGAAAGCGUGGGGAGCAAACAGGA